RNAcentral lists this ribosomal RNA (281 nucleotides) under Escherichia coli. RNAcentral describes it as "partial 23S ribosomal RNA". It matches the Rfam family "Bacterial large subunit ribosomal RNA", at positions 2663 to 2925 of the family's 2925-position model. The record is from RNAcentral. Lineage: Bacteria; Pseudomonadati; Pseudomonadota; Gammaproteobacteria; Enterobacterales; Enterobacteriaceae.
UGAGGGGGGGCUGCUCCUAGUACGAGAGGACCGGAGUGGACGCAUCACUGGUGUUCGGGUUGUCAUGCCAAUGGCACUGCCCGGUAGCUAAAUGCGGAAGAGAUAAGUGCUGAAAGCAUCUAAGCACGAAACUUGCCCCGAGAUGAGUUCUCCCUGACUCCUUGAGAGUCCUGAAGGAACGUUGAAGACGACGACGUUGAUAGGCCGGGUGUGUAAGCGCAGCGAUGCGUUGAGCUAACCGGUACUAAUGAACCGUGAGGCUUAACCUUACAACGCCGAAG